UAAGGAAUAUUGGACAAUGGGCGGAAGCCUGAUCCAGCCAUCCCGCGUGCUUGAUGAAGGCCCUCUGGGUUGUAAAGAGCUUUAGUCUGGGAAGAAACUUGUUUCUGCGGAAGCAACUGACGGUACCAGAAGAAUAAGCACCGGCUAACUCCGUGCCAGCAGCCGCGGUAAUACGGAGGGUGCAAGCGUUAUCCGGAUUUACUGGGUUUAAAGGGUGCGUAGGCGGCAAUAUAAGUCAGGGGUGAAAGCCUAGGGCUCAACCUUAGAAAUGCCUUUGAUACUGUAUUGCUUGAAUUAGAUUGAGGUCGGCGGAAUGUGGCAUGUAGCGGUGAAAUGCAUAGAUAUGCCAUAGAACACCAAUUGCGAAGGCAGCUGACUAAGUCUAGAUUGACGCUGAGGCACGAAAGCGUGGGGAGCAAACAGG
This 424-nucleotide ribosomal RNA is filed under the name uncultured bacterium. RNAcentral describes it as "bacterial SSU rRNA". It matches the Rfam family "Bacterial small subunit ribosomal RNA", at positions 355 to 776 of the family's 1533-position model. The record is from RNAcentral.